Myotis lucifugus (little brown bat) is the source of this 106-nucleotide small nuclear RNA. The record is from Ensembl. Lineage: Eukaryota; Metazoa; Chordata; Mammalia; Chiroptera; Vespertilionidae.
GUGCUCGCUUCGACCACAUAUGUACUAAAACUGGAAUGAUAGAGAGAAGACGAGCCUGGGCCUGCACAAGGGAGACAUGCAAAUUCAUGAAACAUCCCAUACAUUU